RNAcentral lists this microRNA (20 nucleotides) under Echinococcus granulosus. RNAcentral's name for it is "egr-miR-277b-5p". Its record names the gene egr-miR-277b-5p. The record is from miRBase by way of RNAcentral. Lineage: Eukaryota; Metazoa; Platyhelminthes; Cestoda; Cyclophyllidea; Taeniidae.
AGACCAGAUUUUGCAGUUUA